Molecule: ribosomal RNA, 484 nt
Filed under: uncultured bacterium
Lineage: Bacteria
Description: partial 16S ribosomal RNA
Rfam family: Bacterial small subunit ribosomal RNA
Source: RNAcentral
AUUGAACGCUGGCGGCAGGCCUAACACAUGCAAGUCGAGCGGAUGAAGGGAGCUUGCUCCUGGAUUCAGCGGCGGACGGGUGAGUAAUGCCUAGGAAUCUGCCUGGUAGUGGGGGAUAACGUCCGGAAACGGGCGCUAAUACCGCAUACGUCCUGAGGGAGAAAGUGGGGGAUCUUCGGACCUCACGCUCUCAGAUGAGCGUAGGUCGGAUUAGCUAGUUGGUGGGGUAAAGGCCUACCAAGGCGACGAUCCGUAACUGGUCUGAGAGGAUGAUCAGUCACACUGGAACUGAGACACGGUCCAGACUCCUACGGGAGGCAGCAGUGGGGAAUUUUGGACAAUGGGCGAAAGCCUGAUCCAGCCAUGCCGCGUGUGUGAAGAAGGUCUUCGGAUUGUAAAGCACUUUAAGUUGGGAGGAAGGGCAGUAAGUUAAUACCUUGCUGUUUUGACGUUACCGACAGAAUAAGCACCGGCUAACUUCGUG